CGGGUGAGUAACACGUGGAUAACCUACCUAUAAGACUGGGAUAACUACGGUAAACCGGAGCUAAUACCGGAUAAUAUAUUGAACCGCAUGGUUCAAUAGUGAAAGACGGUUUUGCUGUCACUUAUAGAUGGAUCCGCGCCGCAUUAGCUAGUUUGUAAGGUAACGGCUUACCAAGGCAACGAUGCGUAGCCGACCUGAGAGGGUGAUCGGCCACACUGGAACUGAGACACGGUCCAG
This 237-nucleotide ribosomal RNA is filed under the name uncultured Staphylococcus sp. Its description in RNAcentral is "partial 16S ribosomal RNA". It matches the Rfam family "Bacterial small subunit ribosomal RNA", at positions 103 to 334 of the family's 1533-position model. The record is from RNAcentral. Lineage: Bacteria; Bacillati; Bacillota; Bacilli; Caryophanales; Staphylococcaceae.